RNAcentral lists this ribosomal RNA (502 nucleotides) under uncultured bacterium. RNAcentral's name for it is "bacterial SSU rRNA". It matches the Rfam family "Bacterial small subunit ribosomal RNA", at positions 66 to 509 of the family's 1533-position model. The record is from RNAcentral.
GCUGGGAGAGAAAAGCGUUACAUUCGAUGACGAAGCAUCGGAUUACGUCGUUUCAAGUAAGACUAACACCAAGGUGGAGACGAAACGAGAGUAAAACUUUUCUAGUGGCGGACGGGUGAGUAACACGUGAAGAACCUGCCUUACAGAGGGGGACAACAGCUGGAAACGGCUGCUAAUACCGCAUAAUACCAUUUUGGGGCAUCCUGAGAUGGUCAAAGGAGCAAUCCGCUGUAAGAUGGCUUCGCGUCCGAUUAGACAGUUGGCGGGGUAACGGCCCACCAAAUCUACGAUCGGUAGCCGGACUGAGAGGUUGAACGGCCACAUUGGGACUGAGACACGGCCCAGACUCCUACGGGAGGCAGCAGUGGGGGAUAUUGCACAAUGGAGGAAACUCUGAUGCAGCGACGCCGCGUGAGGGAAGAAGGUUUUCGGAUUGUAAACCUCUGUCUUCGGUGACGAAAAUGACGGUAGCCGAGGAGGAAGCCACGGCUAACUACGUGCC